This 468-nucleotide ribosomal RNA is filed under the name uncultured bacterium. RNAcentral's name for it is "partial 16S ribosomal RNA". It matches the Rfam family "Bacterial small subunit ribosomal RNA", at positions 28 to 507 of the family's 1533-position model. The record is from RNAcentral.
GACGAACGCUGGCGGCGUGCUUAACACAUGCAAGUCGAACGGAAAGGCCCUGCUUUUGUGGGGUGCUCGAGUGGCGAACGGGUGAGUAACACGUGAGUAACCUGCCCUUGACUUUGGGAUAACUUCAGGAAACUGGGGCUAAUACCGGAUAGGAGCUCCUGCUGCAUGGUGGGGGUUGGAAAGUUUCGGCGGUUGGGGAUGGACUCGCGGCUUAUCAGCUUGUUGGUGGGGUAGUGGCUUACCAAGGCUUUGACGGGUAGCCGGCCCGAGAGGGUGACCGGCCACAUUGGGACUGAGAUACGGCCCAGACUCCUACGGGAGGCAGCAGUGGGGAAUAUUGCACAAUGGGCGGAAGCCUGAUGCAGCAGCGCCGCGUGCGGGAUGACGGCCUUCGGGUUGUAAACCGCUUUCGCCUGUGACGAAGCGUGAGUGACGGUAAUGGGUAAAGAAGCACCGGCUAACUACGUG